UCGUAGAGCUGGGUUUCUUUCCCCAAAGU
RNAcentral lists this non-coding RNA (29 nucleotides) under Cricetulus griseus (Chinese hamster). Lineage: Eukaryota; Metazoa; Chordata; Mammalia; Rodentia; Cricetidae. The record is from RNAcentral.